CAAUACAGAAUCCGCACUCCUCCUGCUUUUCAUACCACUUUCAUCUGCCAAAAGUUCUACAUUCUUUACUCCAGAACUGGAAAGUACAAUAUUAUCAUUCAUUUCUUUCCGAAUGGACAUGUACAUAUCUUGUUCCAACGUCUCAAAGGUAUAUGCAGUUCUAUCAUUCCCAUUCUUCAACUAUGUUUUUUGUGACACAAUAGCACAUCAACAAUGCCAAAUCUUCAAAAGAAGUGGUAGUACCUGAUCUGGGUCAACAAUGUGUCCUCCUUCAAAAACAAUUCUCCUUACAUGUCUGUGUAAGCAGCAUAAGAACAUAUUUUAAACCUUUUAAUACACAAAAACCAAGCUCAUUCUAAAGGUUUCAAGAUCACAUUGUAUUGCAACUUGUUGAAGAAUGGAAAAAAGGGAGGUAAAGAAAAAUAGAGAGACAAAAAUGACAAUAUAGAGGCAUUCCUUUGAAACUUCAUGAACAACAUAAACUGGAUUCAAGACCUCAGAAACCUCAACAAAGGGCAAUGCAAUUCAGAAAUGCUUUGAGACAAUGGACUUGACAUCUGUUAAACAGGCGAUUUAACCAGGUAUUAGACCCACGUGUUUUAACUUGUUUUGGGUUGGACCAAAAGCAGACAAACAAAGGAGUCAGGCCUGACUUCUUUAAGUUCAGGAAGCAGAAGCAAGUUCCACCAAAGCAAUUGGGACAUUGUAAUCUCACUGCUUGAACAGUACAAGAUAAAUCCUUAAACUGCUUGUUCUUUUUGUUUUAUAUUCUCAAUAUCUAAGAAACACAUAUUUAUUUUAAUCCCCAGAUAUCCAGAUUAAAUCUUCGAAGACCAUUUGGCUUAUUAGGUCCGAUGACCAUAUCAGCUUUAAAGCAGAGUAAAACUAAAAGGAAAACAAGAUUUGAUGGUGAAACUAUAUAAAUUUUCUUGCCAACGCCACUUACCUUUCCUUCAAUGAUGAUAAAUAUCGAUCCAGGCAAUCUUGAUGAACAGCAUGACCACAGGAGGACAGGUAAACACCAUCACAGUCAACUGGGCCAAAUCCAUCAUAUGCAAAAACCUGGGAAGUAGAUUCUGCCAUUGCAAUGUCAUCAAGAGCAUUUCCAGAAGAUGAAGGAUGCUCAAUUAUCUCUUUUGAAAAGGCAGCAAUGUAUUUUCCAAGCAAUACAGAAUCCGCACUCCUCCUGCUUUUCAUACCACUUUCAUCUGCCAAAAGUUCUACAUUCUUUACUCCAGAACUGGAAAGUACAAUAUUAUCAUUCAUUUCUUUCCGAAUGGACAUGUACAUAUCUUGUUCCAACGUCUCAAAGGUAUAUGCAGUUCUAUCAUUCCCAUUCUUCAACAAACUAGGCACUUGAGUGUUCCUCAAUGAUGUAAACUGGCCUUUGAUAAAUUCUAGAAAAUUGCUUAUUUCCCCAGGUUGAGCAUAACCAGCUAAUUCAUCGACUGCAUUUUGGAC
RNAcentral lists this long non-coding RNA (1461 nucleotides) under Jatropha curcas. Its description in RNAcentral is "long non-coding RNA (JCUR_LNC001599)". Lineage: Eukaryota; Viridiplantae; Streptophyta; Magnoliopsida; Malpighiales; Euphorbiaceae. The record is from RNAcentral.